UGGAUCCAGACUUUGAUUAUGGCUCAGGAUGAACGCUAGCGGCAGGCUUAACACAUGCAAGUCGCGGGGCAGCGGGGGAGAAGCUUGCUUCUCCCGCCGGCGACCGGCGCACGGGUGAGUAACACGUAUGCAACCUGCCCCUGUCAGGGGGACAACCCGCCGAAAGGCGGGCUAAUCCCGCAUAUAUUCUUCCGGGGCAUCCUGGAAGAAGGAAAGGCUUCGGCCGGACAGGGAUGGGCAUGCGGCGCAUUAGGAAGUAGGCGGGGUAACGGCCCACCUAUCCGACGAUGCGUAGGGGUUCUGAGAGGAAGGCCCCCCACACUGGUACUGAGACACGGACCAGACUCCUACGGGAGGCAGCAGUGAGGAAUAUUGGUCAAUGGGCGAGAGCCUGAACCAGCCAAGCCGCGUGAGGGAAGACGGUGCUAUGCAUUGUAAACCUCUUUUGUCGGGGAACAAAGAGCUCCAUGCGUGGGGCGUUGAGUGUACCCGAAGAAAAAGCAUCGGCUAACUCCGUGCCAGCAGCCGCGGUAAUACGGAGGAUGCGAGCGUUAUCCGGAUUUAUUGGGUUUAAAGGGUGCGUAGGCGGUGCAUUAAGUCAGCGGUAAAAGCCCGGGGCUCAACCCCGGCGAGCCGUUGAAACUGGUGUGCUUGAGAGGCCGAGAGGUAUGCGGAAUGCGCGGUGUAGCGGUGAUAUGCAUAGAUAUCGCGCAGAACUCCGAUUGCGAAGGCAGCAUACCGGCGGUCAUCUGACGCUGAGGCACGAAAGCGUGGGGAUCAAACAGGCUUAGAUACCCUGGUAGUCCACGCAGUAAACGAUGAAUACCGGCUGUUCGGGGGGAUUGACCCCUGAGCGGCGUAGCGAAAGCGUUAAGUAUUCCACCUGGGGAGUACGCCGGCAACGGUGCAACUCAAAGGAAUUGACGGA
This 928-nucleotide ribosomal RNA is filed under the name uncultured Bacteroidota bacterium. RNAcentral describes it as "bacterial SSU rRNA". It matches the Rfam family "Bacterial small subunit ribosomal RNA", at positions 1 to 917 of the family's 1533-position model. Lineage: Bacteria; Pseudomonadati; Bacteroidota. The record is from RNAcentral.